Long non-coding RNA from Pezoporus flaviventris, 817 nucleotides. RefSeq lists it as uncharacterized. The transcript is spliced from 3 exons. The record is from RefSeq and is a predicted model, not a curated record. NCBI's taxonomy places the organism in Eukaryota, Metazoa, Chordata, Aves, Psittaciformes, Psittacidae.
UUAAGUAGAUCAUUGAGCAACACAACUGGAGUUUUAAUUGCCUUGCUGAUAGCAUUCCUUCAUAGAUGACAAUUCUCUUUGAUUGGGGAGCAACUACUGAAGCACUUUCUUCAUCAUUCCCUGCAUUCCUGAUGAGCUCCUCAAGUGAUGAGUUUGGACUGUUCCUUGCUGGGAAGGAGAAGAGUCUCUGUUCCAGUGGCCACCCUUGGAAGUGAUUCUUGUUUUCAAGUUACUGGCCAUUGCAGCUGGGUUAAGAUUUUUAUCACAAAUGCAAGAAGGGAUCAUGGACCCUUGGUUUUGAUGAUGAGAGCAAGGAGCAGCGAUCCAGCACCUGUCUGGAUAUUGCAGAUACUUUGUAUGUCAAACUAAAUAACGAUGCCUCAUCAACUAAAAGAAGCUACAGCCUGCGUUAGGGGGAGAACUGUUGUUAGGUGUCCUCGGGGUACAACAAGCGAGAAGCGGUUUGGUCGCUCCUGCACUUCCUCUGUGGGUCACAAGAUGGGGUACGAAUACUCAGAAAGAUGAUUGUCCAAGUAACUCAUUCAGCAGUGAAACACCAUCUUAACACUGUAUUUUGCUGAGGCACUGUAAUAAUUCUUGCUAGCACACAAACAGAAUUUACUAGAGGUAGUAGUUAUUAAAUGUUACUUUCCAGGAGUCAUAUUCAGAAAGUUUAUAAGAGGUAUGAGUAAAUUCAGUUGUGCAAUUUCAGUAAUUUACAGCUUGUGUUGGCUAUAGUGAGGAUUCAGUUUCUUACUGCAGCCUCUGCUCCUCCAGCAAUCACAGCUACCAGAUCCAUGAGGAGGGAUAUGGAAGC